GCUCGGCGGCAGAAUCGGUCAGUCGCUGUCGGGGGCUGGAGCUCAGUGCACACUCUCUUGCUCUGUCUGCCUCCUUCGCACCCCACCCUUGCCACCGACCCCCCCUCCCAGUCUCUCUUCCCGGGUCCCUUAGCACGCGCGCGGACCCGGCGCCCCGGCGCGUGUGUGUGCGUGUGUCUGUGUGUGUGCGCGUGUGUGAGUGAAGCCGCGCCAGGGGCUGGAGGGCCGGCUCGAGAGCCAAGCCGGGCAGCGCGGAGCGCACAGCCUGGUCUCCCGGGCUUUCCCUUUUUUACAAAGCAGGGCGUUUGCAGCGAGCGCUCGCUCCCUUUACUCCCUUCCAUUAAGUGGGUAGCUGCGGCCGCGGCCGUGUUGCCCUGAGCCGGGCUGUGUGGUCUCCGUUGCCCCCGCCACUCCCUUUUCGUGUCUCCUUCCAUUUUCCUGCUGCUUCGAUUCCCCCUUUUUCUUAGGGGGAUCCAGGAGGGCGGGUUGAUUAGACGCCGACCGUCUGCCCCCCGACUCCCCAGUUCUUCUAAGCUUCCCUGGCUCACCCCAGGUCGAGCCUCUUCUGCCCCCUCCCCCGCCCCCAUCUUGCCCCCGAGGGGUGGGAUGCUUUGUCCUCUGCUCGGUCACAGUCGUAGCAGCCUCCGACACUGCCCGCCGCCGCACCUGCAGCCGGUCUCAAUAUGAAUGGGGCGAACGACCCGCACUUCUUUAUAAAAGAUAUUAAGCCCGGGCUGAAAAACUUAAAUGUCGUCUUUAUUGUCCUGGAGAUAGGACGAGUGACCAAAACCAAAGACGGCCACGAAGUAAGAUCGUGCAAAGUAGCAGAUAAGACGGGAAGCAUCACUAUCUCGGUGUGGGAUGAAAUCGGAGGUCUUAUCCAGCCCGGGGAUAUAAUUCGAUUAACCCGAGGAUAUGCAUCCAUGUGGAAAGGAUGUCUGACUCUCUAUACAGGAAGAGGAGGUGAACUUCAGAAAAUUGGGGAAUUUUGUAUGGUAUACUCAGAAGUGCCAAACUUCAGUGAACCUAACCCAGACUAUCUUGGACAACAGAACAAAGUGGCACAUGGUGAACAAAAAAAUAAUUCUUCAGCAAGUAAUAUGGGUACAGGUACAUUUGGGCCAGUAGGAAAUGGUGUACAAACUGGACCUGAAUCAGGGCGAUUCCCAUUUUCAUAUAAUCAUGCCCACUCCUAUGCAGGUACUGGGAGAGCCAAUGGACGAGGACCUGUAAACCCACAGCUACCAGCAACAGCUAAUGUUCAGCCAGUUGUGACCACAAUAAGUAAUGGGAGGGACCCCCGGAGAGCCUUUAAAAGAUGACCUAUGCCAAAUGUUUCACAUACAGCUUGCCUAAACUACAUGAUGCCCUACUUGAACACUUAUUGCACUUUUAUUUAUGGUUAUCUGUGAAAAGUUUGUCCUUUAUUGGAAAGACCCUCCAAUACCAAAGCAAGUGACUUACAAUCUAUAGUGACCUACAUUUAUCUAACCAGUCUAGUCUACUUGGGCAACACUCAUCAAGAAGUCCGAGGAAGAAUAUUUUCCUGUUUUCCCCUCAUUCCAGUUUUUCACUUUACCAACUUAUUUUUUAAAAGAGCACUUAAGAUGGAAAUAUUAACAUCUACUGGAAAAGCCACUGGAAUUGAGUUCCCCACAUAAUUUCGACAUUAUGGUUAAUUCUGAAGUGGAUUGACGUCUCAUCAGAAGAACCAGCUUGUUAUGGCUUAUGCCUCUGUCUUGGGCAUGGGGGGAUGGGGAGGGGUGGAGGAAUGGGUUGCUGAAAUGGAGAGAGUGAAAGAUGAACAGAGAAACCCAGAUGAAAUGUCUUUUCAUAUAGGUGGUGUACCUAAGGCACUCUAGUGUGAUCCUAUUGUUUCUCUCUUGUUCCUAUUUGUAGCUUUACCACUAAAGGCUUAGAAUUCACACAUAGGAUAUAAUUUAUAUGUUAAAGCAUUAGAAAAAUAUGAAUGCAUGUUCAAAGGAAGAAGAAAACGUUUUUGUUUGCAAGGAAUCACGUAUAUCAGACACAUGUAGUUCAUAGUUGAGCCCAGUAGUAGUCCCUGGCCAUUUGAACAGGUCCAUCACUUGUAUUUGUAAGGCAACUGGACUAUUAAGCCAUUGUCAUCAUUAGUAAGACCAUAAGUGACUGCUUGUGGUAUGUUUAAAGGAAUGCUUUUGAGAUACAGAUCAUUUUCUAUAUAACUGCAACCACUAAUUAGUCCAUUGAAGUCUCAGUCAUAUAGUAUACUAUGAGAGAACAGUACAAAUAGGAUAAACAAAUCAUUUUUGAUAAUGUACAAUUGAUUAGCACCUAACAUAGUUUUAAUGAUAAUAGGCAAAACAAAUCCCAAAUUAAGGCUUUGUGACAAUGAUUACUGUUCUGUAAACGAGGUAUAGAUCUGGACAUAUUCUAAUUGAAGACUAGAUGCUUACCCCAAUUUCCACCUAUUUUCCCUUCCUGUCAUACCACUGUUUUGUUUGUUUGUUUGUUUGUUUUUUAAGUGAGGCAAUUGGGGUUAAGUGACUUGCCCAGGGUCACACAGAUAGUAAGUGUUAAGUGUCUGAGGCCGGAUUUGAAUUCAGGUGCUCCUGACUCCAGGGCCGGUGCUCUAUCCGAUACCACUGUUUAUUAUUCCAUGUCUGAUAUCCUAUCCUUUGGGCUUUACCUUCCCUUUGACACAGCUCAGUCUAAUGCUUUUGGAGGUUAGCCUUUGCAGUCAUUGUCAACCAUGAUUGUUUUUCUGCCAUUGUGCAAAUGAAAUUGCCUAAUCCCCGUGUCAGGUGUUGAACUUUCAACCCUGUUUUAUGGCAAAAAAACCUCAAAGUCCUGAGUUGUGAAAAGUGACUAUCCUUGUAGUAUGUGCUUAGUAACCUUCACAUGUCUGUAGAAAUCGGCUUUUUUGAGGCAAAUAGGAUACCAAGUUUACAAACCAUGGCCUCCUUUAGGCCUUGUAAUCACUGGUUUUUUUUAAGUUGUACCUAAAACUCUUUCCAAUCCAUCUCCAAAUACCACCUUCAGUCCUGUGACUACACGAGCAAACUAGAUGGGAGAGAGUUUAGCUUGAACAGCUUUUGGCCAUAUUUCAUAUUUUGUAAUUGUGACAGAUUUUCAGUGCCUAAGGCCAUGAACAUAACAUGGUAAAAACCUCAUUCAGAAAAGAGCAGUCAUGAUUUGUUAGGAAAUCUGGAGAUUUUAAAAAUGCCUUAUGUAAAAGUACAGUUAUAUUAAAGCUGUGUAUGGCUAUAAGUGAGUGCCAUAAGGUUUUUAGAAGGCUCAGUACAUAAUGAACCACAAAUGGCCUUUAUCAUAUAAAUGUUUUUGGAUCCACCACAGAGGGUACAAGUGUACUGUUAAUAUUGUAACCUAUAAAAGAGCUUAGAAUUCAUACUUCAAGUAGCAACCUUGAUUUAGCUUUUUUUUUUGGUAGGCAAUUGGGGUUAAGUGACUUGCCCAGGGUCACACAGCUAGUAUGUUAACUGUCUGAGGCAGGAUUUGAACUCAAGUUCUGACUCCAGAGCUGGUGCUCUAUCCACUGUGCUACCUAGCUGCCCCAGCUAUCCUAUUUGUAGGUUACUCAUUUUAUUGGAAUUCUAAUUUGGGUAGCAUAAAUAUCAACUGAAAAUUUAAUGAUGUAAUUCCCAGGUUAACUGAUUACUAAUACCAUCUGGUUACUGGACAAGAGUUGGCUUAUGUCAUAAGUAGGCCAGAGUGGUUUAUUUUUGAUUAAGACCUUUUCCAUUUCACUCCCCUUUUUAAAACUGGGCAGAUUUGACUUGGGGUUGUGGUGGUGGUGGUAAAAUUCACCUUUAGUACAACUUCACUCAUGUUACAUGGCUUCUGGCACCCUUCAGUUUCAAAAUACACCAUACAAACUCUAAUGGAAUAUGAAAACUUGUAACUCAAGUUGGCUAGAACAUAAUUGGAACAUGUUAAGUAUAAAUCUUUAUAUGUAAUUUGCGUAAGAUUUUCGUUUAGGUUUCCAAACUACGUAAUUUACAUUACAACCAAAAUAUUGACAUUUUUUAUUUUGCGAUUAUCCUCUGAAUAGAGCAAAGUAGAUGAUGAAACUGAUUUAUGUGGCUGAGCUAAUGUUAGGAUUAGGCUAUAACAGAUUUUUUGACCUGGCCUCUUUUUUUUGGUGACACUGUGCCCUUUCUCAGUGAAUCAUUGAAAGACUUACCACAUAACCAGCAGUGGAGGCACUUUGCUAAAGCACAGCCUAUGAAGUACAAAGUAAGAUUAAAUACCAAGCUUAUACCCCUAAAGAAAAAUCAAUUUUUGACUUGUUAGAAUUUAAAUCAAGUUGCUAUUUAGGUUGACAUUGUUAGUUUUCCAUACAUCAGCACAUUCAACCAGCAGUAAGCCCUUAUAUGUGCCAUUAAAACAUAAAAUUUAACAGUUCAAGGUGCUAGUUGGGAGAACAAAGUUUAGAUAAAUCAAUCCCUGUCCUAAAAGAGUUUAACUUUCAUAAAGCAAUUAAGGCACCAAGACUUGUAAAAGACUAUUCAAGGCCUGACUAGGAAGAUUCGAGAGAAGGUGGUGUUUUGAGAUGCACAAGAUGGUAGGGAUUCAGUAGGUAAAGAUCAUGGAGGGCAGUCUGAAGGCAAACAGGUAGAAGAGUGAGGUGCAUGUUUUUCCACUUGUUUCCCUGAAGUUUGAUGGAAAUUGGGAUGGUGGUGAAGAAUGAAAGGAUUAAGAUUAAGAAGACUAAAAUCUCACAAUCUGGCCCUCCUGAAAAAGCCACUUAUUCUGCAGAUCUGGCAUGAUUUAAAAUAAAGUGGUUAAGCAAGGUCUUUAAUAUUUGAUCUACUGGCAAGAAAGUAUAAACAUCUAUUGACAUUAGAACCUGUUUUUCCUUGGGGGUAGGGAUGAGGUGGUGGUGUAGAAAGGAGAGGAGCCAGAUAAAAGGAAGUGCAUACCCACUAGGGUUGUUUUGUUUCAGUUAUGGGGUUUUCUUGACAAAGAUAGUGGUUUGCCAUUUCCUUCUCCAGCUCAUUUCACAGAUGAGGAAACUGAGCCAAACAGGACUAAGUGACUUGUCUAAAGUCACAGCUAGAGUCUGAAGCCAGACUUGAACUCAGGAAGUUGAGUUUUCAUGACUAUAGGCCUGGUACUCUAUCCACUGUGCCACCUAACUGCCCAGUGCCAUCUUCUGGGCAGAUGAUAUAAAUUGUUUGAAAUUCUGAAGCCAAGAAAUACAUUUAAACUUUAGUUCCCAUCUUUGGGGAAAAUACUGUCACUCUACUGAGACUUUAUGCCUACUCAUUUCAUCACCAUAUGAAAACUUUAAAUGUCAUGAGCUAGUCUUAAGAAUCUGUUCAGCCCUUUAUAUUAAAAAAAGAGAAAAAGAUCUGAAAUUGUAGCAAAAGCAGUUACCCUUCAAGCUCCAACUGUAGAAACUAUCAGGGUUUAUGGAAUCAGGGUGGAAACUUGCCUUCACAGCAAGUAGCAGUUGCCAUUAAUACUGGUAUAAAGUGUUAUGAUUAAAAAUAGCUUAUGAUAAGUGAUGGUUUUGUAAAAACAUGAAGUGGAACAUAAACCUGUUCAAAAUUGUAUCCCUUUAGCCCAUUGGUAUUUUGUAAAAUGCUAGACAUGUGAAUGUUAGUAUUUAUGCUGUGCGUAUAUGAGAUUUUACUAAAUAUGUAUUUAUACAUAUUCUAUAUAUCUAUAGUUUUGACUUAGAUCUGUGAUUUUUUUCCCUGUGAGCUCCCAGGUGAGGAAACUUCCAAAUGAAGAUUAGCACACCUCCUGCAACUGCAGUUGCUGGUGUUGCUGAGAAGUGACUUUCACAGGGUCACACAGACUUUAGAUGCCAGACUGACUUAAGUGAAGCUGAUUACUACCCUAUUGCUGCAUCAGUGUGUGUGCAUCCUCACCACCACCCCAAACACACAACAAUUGUUAGGCAUUCGAAAUAGCAUUAGAAAUAUGAAUUAGCUUGUCUCACUUUGUUUUCUUCAAUUGCCUGGUACUGUUGCCUCUAAAUUUUUUCCCCCUGAGAAAUGUUACUUUAGUGAUGAUCCAUGAAUACCGAGUAUACAUGAAUGUAAAUUUAGUGUUAUCAAAGCUUAAAACUCUUUACAACUUAAGGCACAUUGUAGGGCGUCUCUGCUCAGACUUGAAAGAUUGGCUGCCCUUUGGUGAUGUUCUUAUGGAUCCUAGAUGUAGAGUCCUGAGAUCUGUGAAUUUGGAAUUGAUCUUAUCAUACCAUGGAGUAAGGCCCUGGAGAAUUGUUUCAUAGUAACCAAGCUCACCAGAGUGACUAGUUAAGCAGAACAUCAUUGUUAAUUUAGAAUGGAAGAAACAUCUUGGUGAGAUAACUAGUAGCAAUUAUUUGCUUAGAAAACUCCCUCCUGGUGCGUAGGUUAAGUCCACUCAGGAGACCAAACUAUAGACAAGAGGUUGCUUAGCACAGAAUAAGAGCAGAGGGAGAUGAAUGUUCUGAAGAGAGAUAUUUCCAUCAACCUCCCACACAUAGAGAUGUUUCUAUCUAAAUAACCAAUAUUGACCUUUAGAAUCUACCCUCUUUCCUUGGAAAGCACUGGAUAUAGGCUUCAGGGAGACGAACUGUGAGAGCAUUACCUUGGCCAUACAUUUAUUGAGGUCACAACUAUUAGAAUCUCAGAUACCUGGAAUAGAAAGGGAACUUAAUUUAUCUAGUCUUAGACUCAGAGUUUGCAUGGAAGGACUAUGGCCUCAUAUUCUCUCACUUUAUAGACAAGAAAAGUAACCUGACCUUGACUUGAAGAGAGUUGAAGUAACUUGACCAAGAUUGCACAGUUAGGCAAGAUGUCAGAUUAAAAGAAUCAAGAGACCUUGUGUUACAUCCUGCCUAACACCACUGAUGUGACCUAGCUAAGCCCCUUGAUGAUUUUGCCUCAGUUUUCCUUAUUUAUAAAAUGGGGAUUAUCAUACCUUUACUGGGCUACCUUUCAGGGUUAUAAUGAGGCUAAGCACUUUCUAAACCUUAAUGUGAACUGCUAUUAGUGGCAUUUAGACAAGGAAUCCAGACCUCAUGAAUCCAGUUUCAAGACUAUUAUGCUGCUUUAUGAUAAUGUAUAAAUGUUCCAAUAGUUCAUAUAAAUAACUAGGAUAACUUUUAUACAGCCAAGUUAAGUUUUUUCUUUUUUUUUUCUUUCUUGUCCUCCAGAAUUUAUAUUAAAAGCAUUGAUAAUGACUGUUUCCCCUAACAUAUACAGUUGAAUUCCCCCAUCAAAGACACACUGAACUUAUAGAGAUAAAACUGAACUUAGUCCGAAGCUCUAAUUCUUAGUUACCUGCAAGAAAAGCUUAAGGAUCCUGAAACAGUCCUGAAGUUAGAAAGAAUCUCAGAAACCAUCCUCUGAUAAAUGAAUUGAAUGUAAUUCCCAAAACUUAAUUGUGUUCAGAGUACCAUUAUAGGCUUGGAAAACAUAGUUUAGAUGAGGCUAAGUUGCUGCACUCAUGAAACUUCUCUACUGGACGGAGAACUUUACACAUGUAGAUGAUUACUAUAAGACAAAUAAUAGAUCAUAAGUAUUUUAGAAAACUGCAAAAGCAUUACUGUGAGUACUGCAGGGGGGAAAUAGGGAGAGGGGAAAAUCUUCUUAGACUUUGGGGAUCAUAACUCUAAAGCUGAGAUGAACCUGUUGGGACCAAUUUUUAAUUGGGGAGUGUUAGCUAAGCGGCUUGCCGCAAUAUUGGGGCAAGGAAGGAGACCGGCAGCUCUCCUCAAAACAGA
Molecule: RNA transcript, 7723 nt
Organism: Dromiciops gliroides (monito del monte)
Lineage: Eukaryota; Metazoa; Chordata; Mammalia; Microbiotheria; Microbiotheriidae
Gene: NABP1
Gene name: nucleic acid binding protein 1
Exons: 7
Source: RefSeq, a predicted model, not a curated record